Molecule: long non-coding RNA, 1402 nt
Organism: Mytilus californianus (California mussel)
Lineage: Eukaryota; Metazoa; Mollusca; Bivalvia; Mytilida; Mytilidae
Exons: 4
Source: RefSeq, a predicted model, not a curated record
GCUUCUGCAUUGACGUUCUGUGCAGGUGCUUUCAGAAUAAUAUACUAAAAUCGUGUAACUGUAUCCAUUGUUAUUCAUUAUCUAGACUUUGCAUCAUCGUUUCCGACAUGGUUGUUAGGACUCUUGGAUUCAAAAUACACGGGGAAUUUCCUUCGACAUGAUUACAGAACUUACAAAGAAAAGAAAAAUAUGAUUUUCAAACAGAUUGUCAAUCUGAUUAUGAUCAACGGUUGACCGACAACAAGAUACAGAGGGAGUGUGAGACUAUCUGUUUAUAUCAUUAUGUUAGAAAACAAGUCCAUUACGUCACUUCGAUAAUCAAAAAUGUACAAACUGUCAAAUUAGAUGGCAUAAUGCUGAUUAUCACACUAUAUAAAAUUGAGGAAAUUGAAAAAUGGUCAGCCUUUUUUAUUUGUAAAUAAAAAGACAAACGAACAGAGUUUCGCAAGGAAAUAAAACAUUGCAGUCUGAAUCUAUUAGCCUAGACUGGGAAGUGAACUACCUUACUAGAGGACAGUUUAAAGUGUACAAUUAAACAAUGAUGCGUCGUUUAUAAAAGUAAAGGAAAAUAGUUGACGUUUAAGAAAAGAUGACUAAAAUGUUUCAAACUAUGUAUAUUGAUGCUUCAUUUAAUUUGUGGUUAGUCUAUAUAUAAUGAUUUAAUAUCCCUGUUACUUAUAUUGACAGACGCGAAAUUUCAAUAAUGAGUAAGGCACAGAUAUAAAAUAAAAGAAAUAGUAAUGCAGUCUCAGAUGCUUAAUGUAAAUAAAAAAAGUUUUUUUUGAAGAUUUGCGUUAGUUCGUUCAAAUUACUCCUAAUUUUUUCGACGCAGAUAUAUAGCAAUCUGCAGUACCAAAAACAUCAGUUCCAACAAAUGUUUUGUCUCAAUAAGUGCGAAUUUCCUAUAUUAUAGAACAUGAUGCAAAAUUAUAAAAAUCCAUCAGUGUUCCACAACAACCUCAAAUACAUUAACCUUUUUGAUUCAUAUGCAGUAUAUAUGCAGUCUCAUUUAAUGUCAAACUUAGAAUGGAUCUUUCUUGUCGCACUAAUGUAGGUAAAUCUAUUCAAAUUUUUAAAUUUUUGAUACAUUCAACCGAUCGUAUCGCUUCGUUGUCAGGUUGUUCUUCAAUCAACGGAAAUCAAAUACAACAUUAGCUAUAGCCGUCCGCCUUUUUAUUUCAAUACACACCAGCAGACGACGUAUGUCAUAUCAAAACAGACAAAAACGUAUAUAAGGACAAGUCAGAGCCACCCACGACCUCGUCCUUAAUUUCAUAAACUAAUAUUUUGAUAAAUACAACAACCUAUUGGUAUUAGAUAAAACUUCCUAUUGAUAUUGCAUCAAACUUUAUUUUAAAUUGAAUAAAACUAUUUAUUGGUAUAAUAAAACUUGCAAAGCAAC